RNAcentral lists this ribosomal RNA (936 nucleotides) under uncultured bacterium. Its description in RNAcentral is "bacterial SSU rRNA". It matches the Rfam family "Bacterial small subunit ribosomal RNA", at positions 8 to 916 of the family's 1533-position model. The record is from RNAcentral.
AGAGUUUGAUCCUGGCUCAGGACGAACGCUGGCGGCGUGCCUAAUACAUGCAAGUCGAACGCAAAACUUUUAACUGAUGCUUGCAUCGACCUAAAGUUUUGAGUGGCGGACGGGUGAGUAACACGUGGGUAACCUGCCCAUCAGAGGGGGACAACACUUGGAAACAGGUGCUAAUACCGCAUAAUACAGAGAACCGCAUGGUUCUUUGUUGAAAGGCGCUUCUGGUGUCGCUGAUGGAUGGACCCGCGGUGCAUUAGCUAGACGGUGAGGUAACGGCUCACCGUGGCAAUGAUGCAUAGCCGACCUGAGAGGGUGAUCGGCCACAUUGGGACUGAGACACGGCCCAAACUCCUACGGGAGGCAGCAGUAGGGAAUCUUCGGCAAUGGACGAAAGUCUGACCGAGCAACGCCGCGUGAGUGAAGAAGGUUUUCGGAUCGUAAAACUCUGUUGUUAGAGAAGAACAGGAGCGAUAGUAACUGCUCGCUCUUUGACGGUAUCUAACCAGAAAGCCACGGCUAACUACGUGCCAGCAGCCGCGGUAAUACGUAGGUCCCGAGCGUUGUCCGGAUUUAUUGGGCGUAAAGCGAGCGCAGGCGGUUUAAUAAGUCUGAAGUUAAAGGCAGUGGCUUAACCAUUGUUCGCUUUGGAAACUGUUAGACUUGAGUGCAGAAGGGGAGAGUGGAAUUCCAUGUGUAGCGGUGAAAUGCGUAGAUAUACGGAGGAACACCGGUGGCGAAAGCGGCUCUCUGGUCUGUAACUGACGCUGAGGCUCGAAAGCGUGGGGAGCAAACAGGAUUAGAUACCCUGGUAGUCCACGCCGUAAACGAUGAGUGCUAGGUGUUAGGCCCUUUCCGGGGCUUAGUGCCGCAGCUAACGCAUUAAGCACUCCGCCUGGGGAGUACGACCGCAAGGUUGAAACUCAAAGGAAUUGACGG